Molecule: ribosomal RNA, 459 nt
Filed under: uncultured bacterium
Lineage: Bacteria
Description: partial 16S ribosomal RNA
Rfam family: Bacterial small subunit ribosomal RNA
Source: RNAcentral
CCUACGGGGGGCAGCAGUGAGGAAUUUUGGUCAAUGGGCGCGAGCCUGAACCAGCCAAGUCGCGUGAGGGAAGACGGUCCUAUGGAUUGUAACCCUCUUUUGUCGGGGAGCAAAAGACGCCACGCGUGGCGUUCCGAGAGUACCCGAAGAAACAGCAUCGGCUAACUCCGUGCCAGCAGCCGCGGUAAUACGGAGGAUGCGAGCGUUUUCCGGUUUUAGUGGGUUAAAAGGGUGCGCAGGAGGAAGAUCAAGGCAGCGGUAAAAUUGAGAGGCUCAACCUCUUCGAGCCGUUGAAACUGGUUUUCUUGAGUGAGUGAGAAGUAUGCGGAAUGCGUGGUGUAGCGGUGAAAUGCAUAGAUAUCACGCAGAACUCCGAUUGCGAAGGCAGCAUACCGGCGCUCAACUGACGCUCAUGCACGAAAGUGUGGGUAUCGAACAGGAUUAGAUACCCCGGUAGUC